AUUUCAAAAAAAGAAGCCGCAGCUCUCUCUCUUUAUACCUCUCUCUAACCAUCACGUCGUCGGUCAAAAAAAGAAGCCGCAGCCACCACCACACCGAUCAUCGUGGCUGGUGAAACGCCGGAGCAGUCGCGACCCAUCGCCAGCCUCCUCUCUCUGAUCUCCCGUUUUCAGCCGUGGCUCCAGCCGGCGGAACCAUCAAGAACCGCCGCUAACGUCGCUACCCACCAGCCACUGCUCCAACGUCGACUCCCUCUCUAUCACUUUAGAAGUUCAAGUUCAACAUGGAUGGUGAACAAAAAAGAAUGGGAAGUUUUAAGUUUAUUUAUUUAACUGUGGAAUCGUUGUUGAUGUAAUUAAGACUGGUGGAAUUAGGUUGUUAUCUAGUAUACAACUCUUUUAUGUUUGAUGUUUAAGCUUAGGUUGUCUACUUGUAUUUGGAUGUAAAUAACCGAAUUGAUCUAAUGCAAUUUGAAUUUCAAGAUCAAA
Long non-coding RNA from Capsicum annuum, 486 nucleotides. RefSeq lists it as uncharacterized. The transcript has 2 exons. NCBI's taxonomy places the organism in Eukaryota, Viridiplantae, Streptophyta, Magnoliopsida, Solanales, Solanaceae. The record is from RefSeq and is a predicted model, not a curated record.